RNAcentral lists this transfer RNA (81 nucleotides) under Eutreptia viridis. Its description in RNAcentral is "tRNA-Leu". It matches the Rfam family "tRNA". From Rfam's summary of the family: Transfer RNA (tRNA) molecules are approximately 80 nucleotides in length. Their secondary structure includes four short double-helical elements and three loops (D, anti-codon, and T loops). Lineage: Eukaryota; Euglenozoa; Euglenophyceae; Eutreptiales; Eutreptiaceae. The record is from RNAcentral. RNAcentral also lists the same sequence under 1 other name.
GCCUUUGUGGUGGAAUGGUAGACACACAUGACUUAAAAUCAUGUGCAUUUUUGCGUGCCGGUUCAAGUCCGGCCGGAGGUA